RNAcentral lists this ribosomal RNA (469 nucleotides) under uncultured bacterium. Its description in RNAcentral is "partial 16S ribosomal RNA". It matches the Rfam family "Bacterial small subunit ribosomal RNA", at positions 28 to 507 of the family's 1533-position model. The record is from RNAcentral.
GACGAACGCUGGCGGCGUGCUUAACACAUGCAAGUCGAACGAUGAAGCACCAGCUUGCUGGUGUGGAUUAGUGGCGAACGGGUGAGUAACACGUGAGUAACCUGCCCCUCACUCUGGGAUAAGCCUGGGAAACUGGGUCUAAUACUGGAUACGACCGAUCUCCGCAUGGAAUGUUGGUGGAAAGUUUUUGUGGUGGGGGAUGGACUCGCGGCCUAUCAGCUUGUUGGUGGGGUAAUGGCCUACCAAGGCGACGACGGGUAGCCGGCCUGAGAGGGCGACCGGCCACACUGGGACUGAGACACGGCCCAGACUCCUACGGGAGGCAGCAGUGGGGAAUAUUGCACAAUGGGCGAAAGCCUGAUGCAGCGACGCCGCGUGAGGGAUGACGGCCUUCGGGUUGUAAACCUCUUUCACCAGGGACGAAGCUAACGUGACGGUACCUGGAGAAGAAGCACCGGCUAACUACGUG